CGGCGCGUGGGGAUUUGUAAUCGGUGGUAGAGUAAUAUCCUUGUGUGGGAUGAAGCUACGAUGGCGCGUGGGGAAACACGCGAUCUGAAUAGCGUUUUUCUUUAGCUCAACGAUGUUCCGGUCGUUUACGUGCGAAAUUCCGUCGCAGGAAAGAUAAAAAUGAUCAGCGCCGAGGGAACGGUUCCAGUAAGGAAAAUCGUUACGGAUGCGUGAGAUGAAACGCGCGAGCGAGCGCG
This 236-nucleotide long non-coding RNA is filed under the name Medicago truncatula (barrel medic). RNAcentral describes it as "lncRNA gene32534". Lineage: Eukaryota; Viridiplantae; Streptophyta; Magnoliopsida; Fabales; Fabaceae. The record is from RNAcentral.